UGGAAACAGCUGAUCUCAAAGUCAAAUAUUUUAUGAUUUUAUUUACAUAGUUAUGAACAGCCUACAGAUAGCAGCAUGGCAGAAAUGGAGAAAUUCAGCAGUUGCCAUUGGUUAAGAUUGGUAGGUGGAGGUAUGAAUUAAAGACCCAGAGGAAAGAGAGCUUCUAGAGGAAGAAAUGGCUGUGAUUCUUUGUUUCAGUACUAACAAGUCUCUCAGGGUUAGAAUAGCAAACACUGAUUGUAUCAAUGUCAACUUCCUGGAUUCCAUUUGGACACAGUAAUGUAAGAUUAUAACCACCGAGGGGAAACCCAGUACUAGGACCUGGCCUACUAUCUUUGCAACUUCCUGCGUAUAGCUAAUGCUUUUUAAAACAAAAAGCCUUUUGAAAAAGCAAUUUAUGCUGUGUAGAAAAUUAUAGAAGAUGGGGAAAAAUAUAAAAUUGCUAUUUUUAACAUUUGGAACCUUUGGUGUUUGUUUUAGGAUAUUGGAAGUUAUUGCUUAAUUUCUGGUUUUGCUCCUCUCCCCAAGACAUACUUGACAUAACAUAAACUGUUGCUUUAAAUUUUUUUCUAUUAUGAUUUUGUGCAUGCUUGUGCAGAAGUCAGUUAACUGUGGGGUAGAUCUUUUUUUCCCCUUGAGAAAUGAGCUGUACCUUGAGUGUCUCUCUUCUCUAUGUUUAUACAGAAUAUUAUAGCACCAGGAGCUCAUCUGUUUCUAACAACCAUGAUUUUCUCUCCCUACUGGCACAGGUAGACCAUGCUGACUGCCUGCACCCUCAACCUGGGGAGCCUUUAUGGUGUGCCAAGAUUGGAGCCAUCACAUUUGCAUCCUUAAAUCCCACAGACAUUCCAUCAAGAGACAUACUUAGCCUUCUCACAAGUGAAAACAGAUUCAGGAGAGCAGGCUCUCAGAGUUUCAGUAUCCAUUCUGAGAUUGUAUCUCUGUCAUGUAACAGUUUCCUCAAGAUUGAAACAUUCCAUCCUUCAGGGAAGCUCAGAAGGUAAAGAACUCAAAAAAGCUUCAGGAAGUCCCUGAAACUGACCAGAUUCACUAGGCUCCUCCCUACCAGAUUAAACAAUAAAAUGGAGAGUAGAGGAGGCUGAGACCAGACAAGCUAGCUGCCUGGAAGAAGCAGAAACCCCCUGAGCUAUUUGGAGAGGCUUAGACCAGAGUGUCUUGGUCUAAAAGAAAGCACAUUCUUCACUCUGUUGAGCUGCCUGCAGGCUGUGCAGUGUGUUCUAGGUCCCAGCUUUGUGAGCUGUCACCCAUGCUGGGGUGGGCUUUGUUGAUGCAACUGUCUGUGAGUCAUUUCUGCUCCUAAUCCACACUCCUGUAGGUAAGCCCAAUAAAACUCAUUGGUUGACCAAGUUAGACUUUGAUGGUAUCUGUACUUUGGUCUGUCAUAGGCUCCCUAUCUGGGGUGAGUAGACUUGUUUUUCAUCUUCCCAGGAAAACUUUUGCAACAUAACAAUCACCCUGACUGGCAGGGACAGGAUUUACCAGUGAAGUACUCCAAGCAUAGACCAGCCAGCCUUCCUAUGAUUGCAUCUAGGCUCCCUUUUGAUUAUCUGUUUAACUUUGGUUUUAGUUUCCUCAUCUUUAAAAUGGGCAUAGAAUAAAUAAAAGCAGCCUCUUAAAGUUGCUUUUAAAGACCAUGAAAGAUGAUUUCUGUAAAUCUGAGAACUAUUCUACUUGAGGUAU
RNAcentral lists this long non-coding RNA (1701 nucleotides) under Rattus norvegicus (Norway rat). RNAcentral describes it as "long non-coding RNA NONRATT019542". Lineage: Eukaryota; Metazoa; Chordata; Mammalia; Rodentia; Muridae. The record is from RNAcentral.